This 97-nucleotide small nuclear RNA is filed under the name Catagonus wagneri (Chacoan peccary). The record is from RNAcentral. Lineage: Eukaryota; Metazoa; Chordata; Mammalia; Artiodactyla; Tayassuidae.
GAUAGUUCCUGUUUACUGGUAAAAUUAGAAUGAAAAAAGACUAGCAUGGUCUCUGUGUAAGGUUGAUAUCCACAUUCAAGAAGGAUUCCAUAUUUUC